RNAcentral lists this small nuclear RNA (114 nucleotides) under Sinocyclocheilus grahami. RNAcentral describes it as "U4 spliceosomal RNA (ENSSGRG00000001111.1)". The stretch from base 1 to 75 matches the Rfam family "U4 spliceosomal RNA". Rfam says of the family: U4 small nuclear RNA (U4 snRNA) is a component of the major U2-dependent spliceosome. Lineage: Eukaryota; Metazoa; Chordata; Actinopteri; Cypriniformes; Cyprinidae. The record is from RNAcentral.
AUUCUUUCGCAGAGGCAAUAUCGUAACCAAUGAGGUUCGUCCGAGGCACGAUUAUUGCUGGUUGUAAAUUUUUAGGGGCAGUCAUGGCCUAAUGGUUAGAGAGUCGGACUCGUA